GAUGAAGAACGCAGCGAAAUGCGAUAAGUAAUGUGAAUUGCAGAAUUCAGUGAAUCAUCGAAUCUUUGAACGCACAUUGCGCCCGCUAGUAUUCUGGCGGGCAUGCCUGUCCGAGCGUCAUUUCAACCCUCAAGCCUCCGGGCUUGGUGUUGGGGAUCGGCGAGCCUCCGCGCCCGCCGUCCCCUAAAUCUAGUGGCGGUCUCGCUGUAGCUUCCUCUGCGUAGUAGCACACCUCGCACUGGGAAACAGCGCGGCCACGCCGUUAAACCCCCAACUUCUGAACGUUUGACCUCGGAUCAGGUAGGAAUACCCGCUGAACUUAAGCAUAUCAAUAAGCGGAGGA
This 343-nucleotide unclassified non-coding RNA is filed under the name soil metagenome. Its description in RNAcentral is "partial contains 5.8S ribosomal RNA, internal transcribed spacer 2, and large subunit ribosomal RNA". The stretch from base 1 to 120 matches the Rfam family "5.8S ribosomal RNA", at positions 35 to 154 of the family's 154-position model. The record is from RNAcentral.